Non-coding RNA from Annulohypoxylon nitens, 141 nucleotides. The record is from the annotation of a GenBank genome assembly. NCBI's taxonomy places the organism in Eukaryota, Fungi, Ascomycota, Sordariomycetes, Xylariales, Hypoxylaceae.
UCCUCCGUGGCGCAAUUGGCUAGCGCGUCGUGAGUUCUUCCCCAAGUCUUAGACUAUCGUGAGGGUAGCCGUUGUUUGCUAACUAGAGUUAUAUAGUGACUGUUAAUCAGGAGGUUGACAGUUCAAGCCUGUCCGGGGGAG